RNAcentral lists this ribosomal RNA (542 nucleotides) under Russula lilacea. Its description in RNAcentral is "mitochondrial SSU rRNA". It matches the Rfam family "Bacterial small subunit ribosomal RNA", at positions 359 to 952 of the family's 1533-position model. Lineage: Eukaryota; Fungi; Basidiomycota; Agaricomycetes; Russulales; Russulaceae. The record is from RNAcentral.
GAAUAUUAGUCAAUGCUCGAAAGAGUGAACUAGCUAACUGAAAUCAAUUAUAAAAAUUGAUAACAUAAGGGAAAAUAAUGAUAUUACCUUAUUAUUAGUGUCGUCCAAAUCUGGUGCCAGAAGACUCGGUAAGGCCAGAGACACAAACGUUAAUCGUCUUAAUCAGGCGUAAAGGGUUUGUAGGCGGCUUUAAAAUUUAAUUAUAACCAAAUAAUUAAAGAAUAAAAGCUAGAAUCAAAUAGAGGAUAUAUGAAAUAAUGCUUAGAGUAGGUCCGAUAUCCUUAGAUACUAAGUAGAAUAUUAAAGGCGAAAGCUUUUUUCCAUUAAUGAUUGACGCUCAGAAACGAAGGUGAGGAUAGGAAAUAGGAUUAGAUACCCAGAAUACCCCUCUCUGUCAACGAUGAAUGGUAGUUAUUAAUAUAAAUUUAUUAAUGGCAAUGUUAACACGAUAACCAUUCCGCCUUGUGAGUACAACUGCAAAGUUGAAAACAAAAAAAUUAGUCGGUUUCGGAGCAAACGAAGUGAAGCAUGUUAUUUAAUUC